RNAcentral lists this ribosomal RNA (468 nucleotides) under uncultured bacterium. RNAcentral's name for it is "partial 16S ribosomal RNA". It matches the Rfam family "Bacterial small subunit ribosomal RNA", at positions 28 to 507 of the family's 1533-position model. The record is from RNAcentral.
GACGAACGCUGGCGGCGUGCUUAACACAUGCAAGUCGAACGGAAAGGCCCUGCUCUUGCGGGGUGCUCGAGAGGCGAACGGGUGAGUAUAACGCGAGUAAACCGCACCUGUCUUUGGGGUAACUUUAGGAAAAUGGGGCUAAUAUCGGAUAGGAGCUCCUGCUGCAUGGUGGGGGUUGGAGAGUUUCGGCGGUUGGGGAUGGACUCGCGGCUUAUCAGCUUGUUGGUGGGGUAGUGGCUUACCAGGGCUACGACGGGUAGCCGGCAUGGGAGGUUGACCGGCCACAUUGGGACUGAGGUAGGGCCCAGACUGCUACGGUAGGCAGCAGGCGGGAAUAUUGCGCAAUAGGCGGAAGCCUGAGACGACAACGCCGCGUGCGGAAUGACGGCCUUCGGGUUGUAAACCGCUGUCGCCUGUGACGAAGCGUGAGUGACGGUAAUGGGUAAAAAAGCACCGGCUAACUACGUG